Molecule: long non-coding RNA, 1491 nt
Filed under: Triticum aestivum (bread wheat)
Lineage: Eukaryota; Viridiplantae; Streptophyta; Magnoliopsida; Poales; Poaceae
Description: long non-coding RNA (TAES_LNC003620)
Source: RNAcentral
GUGAAUCAGAUCUAGGAGCACAUUGACUACGAGGUUUGUCGACAUGACAAGUACCGUAUGUGUGUCUACUCGUCCAACCUGAUAAUUCUCCAUUUGGUCACCUUUGAUUGAUAUCCUCCAAAAUAGGAGGAGAUUCUGCUUUUGCUAAAUCUCCUUGUGUAUGUGCUUCUUGCACCUAUUGAUGCUACAAGUUAAGUAAUCAGAUGAGCCCUUCAUGUGUUGUAUGCAAGAUUCCAACAUGUUCUUCAUUUUGUUCUGAUGCAACAGUCAGCUGGAUGCGGGAGAAUCAAUGCACAUAAACUUGUUCUUUCUCUAUUUAAAAGCAUUGAAGAUCAUAAUAUUACGCACUAUCAAUUUGUUUUUUCUUGGCAAUCGGUAUUGCUAAUACCCCUUUCGGUCUUUAACAUUUGUUUUUUCUCGUGGACACAUGUAUGAACACUUCACCUGUCUUCAUUCUUUCUAGAUCUCAUAAGUAGUAAUUUCUUAAAGAUUGUAUAACCUGUAUACUUCACUUUAAUUCAUGUGUGACAACAGUAAAGGAAAUCAUCUGAUGAACUGUUCACGAUAUAAUUUUUUAUAGGCUUAGAUUUAAUUAAGGUCUAUCUAUUGUAGUUUAAGCUUGAACAUAUCAUUAGGGCUAGUUCUUGUGGUGUUUUUUGGGCUUCUAGAAUAAGUUGCCCCUUACCCAGCUUAUUUUAGAAGCCCAACCAUAUAGUGUCAAAAACACUCUUAUAUUAUGGGAUGGAGGGAGUAGGCUUCUAAGCAAAUAAUUUUCUAGAAUAAGCUAGGUAGGGGGCAACCUAUUCCAGUUUUUCUAGAAGGCAGCAAAAGAACUGGCCUUUAGUAAUUAGUAUGAUCUUCUGAUGUUGGAGUCUCGAGGUGGAGAGUUUACACAAUAUGAUAUAAUAUGAAUUUUAACUUACUAGUGUUCAAUAUUUCUAACCUGAUUUAUGGAAGAAACAAAAGCUAGGCCACACAGCCACAUAAAGUCCUCUAAAAUGUUCACUGCUUGCAUCCAUGUGACUUCCUUAUAUACACUAUCUGCAUUCUACUCUCAGCUUGCUGCAUUUUUCUUAUUUCAUGUUAUGCUUAAUUUGCUUCUAAUGUAUUGUCCCUCCCUAUGGCAGGACGAAACACUUCUUGGAAUUCUUAAAGAGGAAGUCAAUGGAGCCAUGCUGUUGUUGUGCAACAGGCUAUGUUUUUCGUAAUACCAUUUGUCUGGGCUGUGUAAUCUUAGUUUGUGUGUGCUGGGAUACUCAAAAAGCUAUCUAUCUAAUAUAAAUCUGUAUUAUGUUGUCUAGCCUCUGUAAUCUUAUUUUGUGUGUGCUGGGAUAUUAAAAAAGCUAUCUGUCUAAUUUAAAUAUGUGAUGUAUUCUUCACUUAACUUUACUUGUAGUACAGUUUCUAGUCUAAAAAUGCUAAACGACCUUUUUUGAGCUAAAAAAGGCUAAAUGGCCUAAUAAUACAUAAUGGAUCGGACAUGGGCUUUGG